GAUGAACGCUGGCGGCGUGCUUAACACAUGCAAGUCGAACGAUGAAGCCCAGCUUGCUGGGUGGAUUAGUGGCGAACGGGUGAGUAACACGUGAGUAACCUGCCCUUAACUCUGGGAUAAGCCUGGGAAACUGGGUCUAAUACCGGAUAGGAGCGUCCACCGCAUGGUGGGUGUUGGAAAGAUUUAUCGGUUUUGGAUGGACUCGCGGCCUAUCAGCUUGUUGGUGAGGUAAUGGCUGACCAAGGCGACGACGGGUAGCCGGCCUGAGAGGGUGACCGGCCACACUGGGACUGAGACACGGCCCAGACUGCUACGGGAGGCAGCAGUGGGGAAUAUUGCACAAUGGGCGCAAGCCUGAUGCAGCGACGCCGCGUGAGGGAUGACGGCCUUCGGGUUGUAAACCUCUUUCAGUAGGGAAGAAGCGAAAGUGACGGUACCUGCAGAAGAAGCACCGGCUAACUACGUG
Molecule: ribosomal RNA, 466 nt
Filed under: uncultured bacterium
Lineage: Bacteria
Description: partial 16S ribosomal RNA
Rfam family: Bacterial small subunit ribosomal RNA
Source: RNAcentral